Molecule: ribosomal RNA, 187 nt
Filed under: uncultured bacterium
Lineage: Bacteria
Description: partial 16S ribosomal RNA
Rfam family: Bacterial small subunit ribosomal RNA
Source: RNAcentral
GACCACACGAAGCUGGAAUCGCUAGUAAUCGCGAAUCAGAAUGUCGCGGUGAAUACGUUCCCGGGUCUUGUACACACCGCCCGUCACACCAUGGGAGUCAGCAACGCCCGAAGUCAGUGACCUAACCGAAAGGGAGGAGCUGCCGAAGGCGGGGCCGGUAACUGGGGUGAAGUCGUAACAAGGUAGC